CGAGUUUGAUCCUGGCUCAGGACGAACGCUGGCGGCGUGCCUAACACAUGCAAGUCGAACGUCCUUUCCGCGAGGGGAGGGCGUGGCGGACGGGUGAGGAACACGUGGGUGACCUGCCCUGCAGUGGGGGAUACCGGUGCGAAAGUGCCGACAAUCCCGCAUACGGUGGCGUCUUGCAAGAGGCGCCAGGAAAGCUCCGCGCCGGAGGGUGCGGGGCGCUGCAGGAGGGGCCUGCGCCCGAUUAGCUGGUUGGUAGGGUAACGGCCUACCAAGGCGACGAUCGGUCGCUGGUCUGAGAGGACGACCAGCCACACUGGGAUUGAGAGACGGCCCAGACUCCUACGGGGGGCAGCAGUGAGGGAUCUUCGGCAAUGGGCGAAAGCCUGACCGAGCGACGCCGCGUGCAGGAAGAAGGCCUUCGGGUUGUAAACUGCUUUUCUGGGGGAAGAGAGAGGACGGUACCCCAGGAAGAAGCCCCGGCAAACUACGUGCCAGCAGCCGCGGUAAGACGUAGGGGGCGAGCGUUGUCCGGAGUUACUGGGCGUAAAGGGCCUGUAGGCGGUCGGGCAGGUUCCGGCUGACAGCCCGCGGCUUCACUGCGGGAGAGGCAGGAAGACGGUCCGACUUGAGGGCCACAGAGGGACAGGGAAUUCCCGGUGGAGCGGUGAAAUGCGUAGAGAUCGGGAAGAACACCGAAGGCGAAGGCACUGUCCUAGGUGGUACCUGACGCUGAGAGGCGAAAGCUAGGGGAGCGAACGGGAUUAGAUACCCCGGUAGUCCUAGCCGUAAACGCUGACCACUAGGUGUGUGGGGAGAUCGACCCCCUGCGCGCCGAAGCGAACGCAUGAAGUGGUCCGCCUGGGGAGUACGGCCGCAAGGCUAAAACUCAAAGGAAUUGACGGGGACCCGCACAAGCAGCGGAGCGUGUGGUUUAAUUCGAUGCAACGCGAAGAACCUUACCAGGGUUGGACAAGCGCGCUGAGGGUCCAGAGAUGGGCCGGCCCGCAAGGGAGGCGUGCUCAGGUGCUGCAUGGCUGUCGUCAGCUCGUGCCGUGAGGUGUUGGGUUAAGUCCCGCAACGAGCGCAACCCCCGCUCUCGGUUGGAAUUCUCCGAGGGGACUGCCGCGCACAACGCGGAGGAAGGUGGGGAUGACGUCAAGUCAGCAUGGCCCUGACAUCCUGGGCGACACACACGCUACAAUGGUCGGGACAGCGGGCAGCGACCCGGCGACGGGGAGCCAAUCCCUUAAACCCGAUCUCAGUGCAGAUUGCAGGCUGCAACCCGCCUGCAUGAAGGAGGAGUUGCUAGUAACCGCCGGUCAGCACACGGCGGUGAAUACGUUCUCGGGUCUUGUACACACCGCCCGUCACACCACGAAAGCCGGCAACACCUGAAGCCGCUGGGCGAACCCCUCAAGAGAGGGGAGGCAGGCGUCGAGGGUGGGGUCGGUGAUUGGGGUGAAGUCGUAACAAGGUAGCCGUACCGGAAGGUGCGGCUG
RNAcentral lists this ribosomal RNA (1499 nucleotides) under Thermogemmatispora carboxidivorans. RNAcentral describes it as "bacterial SSU rRNA". It matches the Rfam family "Bacterial small subunit ribosomal RNA". The record is from RNAcentral. Lineage: Bacteria; Bacillati; Chloroflexota; Ktedonobacteria; Thermogemmatisporales; Thermogemmatisporaceae.